This 304-nucleotide long non-coding RNA is filed under the name Daucus carota (carrot). Its description in RNAcentral is "long non-coding RNA (DCAR_LNC004962)". Lineage: Eukaryota; Viridiplantae; Streptophyta; Magnoliopsida; Apiales; Apiaceae. The record is from RNAcentral.
AGAGGUAGUGGUGUUGUUUCUGAUGUUGCUGCUAGUGAUUGGUAGUCUCGUUCCCCAGGAUAUGCUAACAAUGUUGUGCUGGAUUCCGGCUUAGGUAAUGAAUGCUACACAGUAGUUUAUAGAUUUUAACUUUAGAAAUCAAUCUAAUCUGUCUUAAUUGAAUGCAGGGCGGAUGGAAGAAUCCUGUAGUAGACCUCCAAAGGAUACAUCUUCACUUGCUCUUAUAGCUUUGACCUAUGAGGAUGCUUCCGACCUUGAAAGUGAACUGAGAGAAGUUUCCCCUGCACCUGGCCUUGAUGAGGAC